UGAACGCUAGCGAUAGGCCUAACACAUGCAAGUCGAGGGGCAUCACAUGAGGCAGCAAUGCCGAUGGUGGCGACCGGCGCACGGGGUGAGUAACACGUAUGCAACCUGCCUUUCAACAAGGGGAUAACCCGUUGAAAGACGGACUAAUACCCUAUAACGACAGGGGUCCCGCAUGGGAAUAUUGUUAAAGGCAACGGUUGAGAUGGCAUGCGUUCCAUUAGCUAGUUGGCGGGUAACGGCCCACCAAGGCAACGAUGGAUAGGGGAACCUGAGAGGUUUUACCCCCACACUGGUACUGAGACACGGACCAGACUC
RNAcentral lists this ribosomal RNA (315 nucleotides) under uncultured bacterium. RNAcentral describes it as "bacterial SSU rRNA". It matches the Rfam family "Bacterial small subunit ribosomal RNA", at positions 30 to 338 of the family's 1533-position model. The record is from RNAcentral.